Molecule: ribosomal RNA, 83 nt
Filed under: Vibrio parahaemolyticus
Lineage: Bacteria; Pseudomonadati; Pseudomonadota; Gammaproteobacteria; Vibrionales; Vibrionaceae
Description: partial 16S ribosomal RNA
Rfam family: Bacterial small subunit ribosomal RNA
Source: RNAcentral
UUAAAUUGAAGAGUUUGAUCAUGGCUCAGAUUGAACGCUGGCGGCAGGCCUAACACAUGCAAGUCGAGCGGAAACGAGUUUUC